This 72-nucleotide transfer RNA is filed under the name Aedes aegypti (yellow fever mosquito). It matches the Rfam family "tRNA". Rfam says of the family: Transfer RNA (tRNA) molecules are approximately 80 nucleotides in length. Their secondary structure includes four short double-helical elements and three loops (D, anti-codon, and T loops). Further hydrogen bonds mediate the characteristic L-shaped molecular structure. tRNAs have two regions of fundamental functional importance: the anti-codon, which is responsible for specific mRNA codon recognition, and the 3' end, to which the tRNAs corresponding amino acid is attached (by aminoacyl-tRNA synthetases). tRNAs cope with the degeneracy of the genetic code in two manners: having more than one tRNA (with a specific anti-codon) for a particular amino acid; and 'wobble' base-pairing, i.e. permitting non-standard base-pairing at the 3rd anti-codon position. The record is from Rfam by way of RNAcentral. Lineage: Eukaryota; Metazoa; Arthropoda; Insecta; Diptera; Culicidae.
GGUUCAGAAGCUUAGUUGGUAAAGCGCUCGUCUAGCGUCCAAGAGUUCUGGGUUCGAAUUCCAGCCGAGCAA